This is a long non-coding RNA of Peromyscus eremicus (cactus mouse), 237 nucleotides long. RefSeq lists it as uncharacterized. The transcript has 3 exons. The record is from RefSeq and is a predicted model, not a curated record. NCBI's taxonomy places the organism in Eukaryota, Metazoa, Chordata, Mammalia, Rodentia, Cricetidae.
GCCCAGAAGAGUGAGAGCAGGAUCCUAACCCUUCUCCCAGCUGCUUCUCUCACCGUCUAUUGCCACACCUUCCUCCCAACUGUGAGGAUAAUUUUCCACCUCCAUGCACGGAGAAUUCGUGGCUCUGCUCACUGGGUUAAUCAUCUCAAACAAAGGGCCCAGCACCUCUUCAUUCAUCCUAGUGGCAUCGGGAGCUGCGGUGUGUCACCCAGAAUACACUUUUGUCCAAUCAGCGCC